AACGAACGCUGGCGGCAUGCCUAAUACAUGCAAGUCGAACGAUCACUUCGGUGGUAGUGGCGCACGGGUGCGUAACGCGUGGGAAUCUACCCUUGGGUUCGGAAUAACAGUUAGAAAUGACUGCUAAUACCGGAUGAUGACGAAAGUCCAAAGAUUUAUCGCCCAAGGAUGAGCCCGCGUAGGAUUAGCUAGUUGGUGAGGUAAAAGCUCACCAAGGCGACGAUCCUUAGCUGGUCUGAGAGGAUGAUCAGCCUCACUGGGACUGAGACACGGCCCAGACUCCUACGGGAGGCAGCAGUAGGGAAUAUUGGACAAUGGGGGCAACCCUGAUCCAGCAAUGCCGCGUGAGUGAUGAAGGCCUUAGGGUUGUAAAGCUCUUUUACUCGAGAUGAUAAUGACAGUAUCGGGAGAAUAAGCACCGGCUAACUCUGUGCCAGCAGCCGCCGUAA
RNAcentral lists this ribosomal RNA (449 nucleotides) under uncultured bacterium. Its description in RNAcentral is "partial 16S ribosomal RNA". It matches the Rfam family "Bacterial small subunit ribosomal RNA", at positions 29 to 523 of the family's 1533-position model. The record is from RNAcentral.